RNAcentral lists this long non-coding RNA (838 nucleotides) under Cyanistes caeruleus (blue tit). RNAcentral's name for it is "lncRNA (ENSCCEG00000005640.1)". The record is from RNAcentral. Lineage: Eukaryota; Metazoa; Chordata; Aves; Passeriformes; Paridae.
UCAUUUCCUUCCUGGAAAAGCAUUUUGUGCUGCAGGUGAAGGUUUGGAAGCCGCCAGAACCCGUGAGUGCCUUUUUGUAGCGCAGAAAUAACCUGAGUUUGUUUCUGCCAGGGCGCGAUCCCUGCUCAGUUCAUAAAUGCGGGAAAAACGGAUUUAACGCGAUAAAUUUGAGUUUGUGUUGUCGUGCAGUACCUCAGGGUGAUGCCAGCGGGGGGACACUGCUAUGAGGAUGGUCCCUUCUUCCCCAGCAUUCCCAGAUUUGUUGUCCAGGUGGGAAUUGCCAGGAGAAGGGAGCUGCUGCUCAGCCCUGACUGGGCAGCGAUCGCUGCGGUGAGCUCUGGGCUCCUCUUGCUGCUGGCGGCCUCCCUGGCGUUGGCACUCCUGUGCCGGGGCCAGGGCUGGGCACGGAGGGGCAGCCCCAGCCCCCGGUUCCGCAGGCAGCAGCUCAAGCACAACCUGCAGGGAUAUUCCUCCAAAAUUCCAGCUGUGUUUUCCAUGGAAAAGCCUCACCCCUCUCUGCAGCCCCAGGCUGGGCACUCCCACAGCGCUGCUGGCACAGGCUGUUUCCUGAGGAGGGGGAAUGCCUGGGAGCCUGAAGGACAAAUAGACCUCGACUCUUUUAACACCAAAGUUUUCUUUGAGCUGCUGCUGAGGCAGUCCCAGUCUGUCACCACCACGCUGGGGCACUUCAAAGAAGAGGGUAAUGAGUGAAAUAUCCUCGCUGAAAAACCUCUGGAUAAAGGCUCUGAGCAGCCCAGGAAAGGAGGAGGAUGAAGAGAGCACAGUGGCAAAACAGCAGGUAGAGCUCAGCUCUGCAAGAGUUAAAAAUGGAAUAAAU